Arachis ipaensis is the source of this 526-nucleotide non-coding RNA. NCBI's taxonomy places the organism in Eukaryota, Viridiplantae, Streptophyta, Magnoliopsida, Fabales, Fabaceae. The record is from RefSeq and is a predicted model, not a curated record.
GAUGGGGAAUAGUAGUGAUUCUGGAGCUUCCAAUUUCAGAAGGAAGGAUGUGAUGAAAGUUGAUGGCAAAUGUAAUUGUGGACUCAAUGUGAUGUUGUUGGAAUCUGGCACUAUGAACAAUCCUGGGAGAUGGUUCAUCUGUUGUCCUCUACGGGCGGUGGUUGGUGGGUUUGUCCAGAACACUAAUGGGGGCAAAAAAAGAUGAGGUUGAAGCUACUACUCAACUGAGAGAAUUCAGAGGAAGCGAUAAUAAUGAGGCAAAGAAGAAGAUUGUGACGAAGAUGGGGAAGCUUAAAGCAGAAAUUCAAUAUAUGAAAGUGUGGCUUGUUAUGCUUUCUCUGGGUUUGUUAGUGUGUUUCAUCAUGAACAUUUUGUUAGUGUUUAGGGUGAAGUAAGAGCUCUGUUAGAAGAUGAUAAUGGUUUAGGGUUGAAUCUGUCUUCUCUUUGAGUCGUGUAGUUAUUGAUAUUUGUAUGAAAUGAGAAUGAAAACUUUGACAAUUAUAGUCACGUUUGUUUUAAAAUUAGA